RNAcentral lists this ribosomal RNA (630 nucleotides) under Bacillus pseudomycoides. RNAcentral describes it as "bacterial SSU rRNA". It matches the Rfam family "Bacterial small subunit ribosomal RNA", at positions 52 to 663 of the family's 1533-position model. Lineage: Bacteria; Bacillati; Bacillota; Bacilli; Caryophanales; Bacillaceae. The record is from RNAcentral.
UACAUGCAGUCGAGCGAACCGAUUAAGAGCUUGCUCUUAAGAAGUUAGCGGCGGACGGGUGAGUAACACGUAGGUAACCUGCCUAUAAGACUGGGAUAACUCCGGGAAACCGGGGCUAAUACCGGAUAACAUUUUGCACCGCAUGGUGCGAAAUUGAAAGGCGGCUUCGGCUGUCACUUAUAGAUGGACCUGCGGCGCAUUAGCUAGUUGGUGAGGUAACGGCUCACCAAGGCGACGAUGCGUAGCCGACCUGAGAGGGUGAUCGGCCACACUGGGACUGAGACACGGCCCAGACUCCUACGGGAGGCAGCAGUAGGGAAUCUUCCGCAAUGGACGAAAGUCUGACGGAGCAACGCCGCGUGAGCGAUGAAGGCCUUCGGGUCGUAAAGCUCUGUUGUUAGGGAAGAACAAGUGCUAGUUGAAUAAGCUGGCACCUUGACGGUACCUAACCAGAAAGCCACGGCUAACUACGUGCCAGCAGCCGCGGUAAUACGUAGGUGGCAAGCGUUAUCCGGAAUUAUUGGGCGUAAAGCGCGCGCAGGUGGUUUCUUAAGUCUGAUGUGAAAGCCCACGGCUCAACCGUGGAGGGUCAUUGGAAACUGGGAGACUUGAGUGCAGAAGAGGAAAGUG